GUCCAGCGUCUUACCUGUUCAAUAUUUAGACUGAUUAGCUCAUGAGAUCUAAUACUGUCAGGUAAUGACGCUGGAU
Caenorhabditis remanei is the source of this 76-nucleotide non-coding RNA. The record is from Rfam. NCBI's taxonomy places the organism in Eukaryota, Metazoa, Nematoda, Chromadorea, Rhabditida, Rhabditidae.